This 328-nucleotide ribosomal RNA is filed under the name uncultured eukaryote. RNAcentral describes it as "partial 18S ribosomal RNA". It matches the Rfam family "Eukaryotic small subunit ribosomal RNA", at positions 1470 to 1796 of the family's 1831-position model. The record is from RNAcentral.
CCCUUAGAUGUUCUGGGCCGCACGCGCGCUACACUGAUGCAUUCAACGAGUUUCUUCCUGGUCCGAGAGGAAUGGGUAACCUUUUGAAAGUGCAUCGUGAUAGGGAUAGACUAUUGCAAUUAUUGGUCUUCAACGAGGAAUGCCUAGUAAGCGCAAGUCAUCAGCUUGCGUUGAUUACGUCCCUGCCCUUUGUACACACCGCCCGUCGCUCCUACCGAUUGAAUGGUCCGGUGAAGCGUUCGGACCGUGGCCUUUGGACGGUUCGCCGUCUGUUGGCUGCGGGAAGUUCGUUAAACCUUAUCAUUUAGAGGAAGGAGAAGUCGUAACA